This 482-nucleotide ribosomal RNA is filed under the name uncultured bacterium. Its description in RNAcentral is "partial 16S ribosomal RNA". It matches the Rfam family "Bacterial small subunit ribosomal RNA", at positions 30 to 507 of the family's 1533-position model. The record is from RNAcentral.
AUUGAACGCUGGCGGCAUGCCUUACACAUGCAAGUCGAACGGUAACGGGCCUUCGGGUGCCGACGAGUGGCGAACGGGUGAGUAAUACAUCGGAACGUGCCCGAUCGUGGGGGAUAACGAGGCGAAAGCUUUGCUAAUACCGCAUACGAUCUACGGAUGAAAGCAGGGGACCGCAAGGCCUUGCGCGGACGGAGCGGCCGAUGGCAGAUUAGGUAGUUGGUGGGAUAAAAGCUUACCAAGCCGACGAUCUGUAGCUGGUCUGAGAGGAUGAUCAGCCACACUGGGACUGAGACACGGCCCAGACUCCUACGGGAGGCAGCAGUGGGGAAUUUUGGACAAUGGGCGCAAGCCUGAUCCAGCCAUGCCGCGUGCAGGAUGAAGGCCUUCGGGUUGUAAACUGCUUUUGUACGGAACGAAAAGCCUUCUUUUAAUACAGGAGGGUCAUGACGGUACCGUAAGAAUAAGCACCGGCUAACUACGCG